AGGAUAAACGCUGGCGGCGUGCCUAACACAUGCAAGUCGAACGCGCUUUCGGGCUUCGGUGCGAGAGCGAGUGGCGGACGGGUGAGUAACACAUGGGUACCUACCUUGGAGUGAGGGAUACCGGCGAGAAAUCGCCGACAAUACCGCAUAGGCUUCUUCACAAGGGAAGCAAAGUGACGCGAGUCACGCUUUGAGAUGGGCCUGUGGCCGAUUAGCUAGUUGGGGGGGUAACGGCUUCCCAAGGCGACGAUCGGUAGCUGGUCUGAGAGGACGAUCAGCCACACUGGGAUUGAGAACGGCCCAGACUCCUACGGGGGGCAGCAGUGAGGAAUUUUCCGCAAUGGAGGCAACUCUGACGGAGCAACGCCGCGUGCAGGAGGAAGGUUUUCGGAUCGUAAACUGCUUUUCUCGGGGACGAGCAAGGGACGGUACCCGAGGAAGAACGCCCCGGCUAACUACGCGCCAGCACCGC
This 472-nucleotide ribosomal RNA is filed under the name uncultured bacterium. Its description in RNAcentral is "SSU rRNA". It matches the Rfam family "Bacterial small subunit ribosomal RNA", at positions 26 to 518 of the family's 1533-position model. The record is from RNAcentral.